CCCAAAAGGAUGCAGAGUUGGCUUAUUUCCUCCUGAACAGCGAUUGAAUAUGGAGGACUUUGUUAAACUAAAGUUAACAGAAUGGCAACUUCUGGAGCUGAUUGACACUUUUGCAGAUUGUGCAGGACUUCAAGGUUCUUCAUAAAGAGGCAUCAGACUAAUGUUUGACCUGGAGGAGGUUCAGCGAGAAGCUUGUUCAUGCGGCCCAGCGGGGGGAGCUCCACGUGCAGACAGAGUCUUUGC
Perca flavescens (yellow perch) is the source of this 243-nucleotide long non-coding RNA. RefSeq lists it as uncharacterized. The transcript is spliced from 3 exons. The record is from RefSeq and is a predicted model, not a curated record. Lineage: Eukaryota; Metazoa; Chordata; Actinopteri; Perciformes; Percidae.